RNAcentral lists this unclassified non-coding RNA (352 nucleotides) under soil metagenome. RNAcentral describes it as "partial contains 5.8S ribosomal RNA, internal transcribed spacer 2, and large subunit ribosomal RNA". The stretch from base 1 to 120 matches the Rfam family "5.8S ribosomal RNA", at positions 35 to 154 of the family's 154-position model. The record is from RNAcentral.
GAUGAAGAACGCAGCGAAAUGCGAUAAGUAAUGUGAAUUGCAGAAUUCAGUGAAUCAUCGAAUCUUUGAACGCACAUUGCGCCCGCCAGUAUUCUGGCGGGCAUGCCUGUUCGAGCGUCAUUACAACCCUCAGGCCCCCGGGCCUGGCGUUGGGGAUCGGCGGAGCCCCCCGUGGGCACACGCCGUCCCCCAAAUGCAGUGGCGGUCCCGCCGCAGCUUCCAUCGCGUAGUAGCUAACACCUCGCGACUGGAGAGCGGCGCGGCCACGCCGUAAAACACCCAACUCUUCUGAAGUUGACCUCGAAUCAGGUAGGAAUACCCGCUGAACUUAAGCAUAUCAAUAAGCAGAGGA